Molecule: long non-coding RNA, 1454 nt
Organism: Rhinopithecus roxellana (golden snub-nosed monkey)
Lineage: Eukaryota; Metazoa; Chordata; Mammalia; Primates; Cercopithecidae
Exons: 3
Source: RefSeq, a predicted model, not a curated record
UCCUGUUUGUCCGUGACACAGCAGCUCCACGCCCCAGCAGCAGCUCGCAGACCUCCAGCUUCCCUCUUCCUGCGGCAGCAGUCAGGGCUAAAGGAAAGUCACAUAGAGGGGAAUCUGUUAGCAUGUGGUGGAGCACAGAUGGCCAGAAAUUCUUUGACAGUUCUCUCCGCCAGUGGGAGGUAGGGUCUAUAUGUCCUCCCCCUUUGAACCUGCGGGGGCUCUGUGACAGCUUUGACCAACAGAACACAGCAGAACCAAUUCUGUGUGAGUGUCAAGGCCCAGGUCCUAGGAGAUGGGCUGCUUGUACAUCCUUGAACACUCUUUCCUGGAGGCAGGAUGCCAUGCUGAGAGGAAGCCCAAGCAGUCCUGUGGUGAGACCCACAGAGAGAAGAACUGAGGCCUGGGCAUGGCUGCCAGUUCCAGAUGGGCUCCCAGGAGACAGCCAGCACCAGCCGGCCAGCCACAUGCAUGUGCCAUCUGGAAAGGGAUCCAUCAGCCUGGGUCAAGCUGCCCCAGCUAAAGCCAUGUGAGCAGAGGUGAGUCAUCCCCACCAUGCCCGGCCCAAACUGUAGAUUCAGAGGUGGCUAAGUUUUGUUUCUGUUUUUCACAGGAAGAGAUAACCAGAAUACAGUGCAACGCAAACACAGAUAGAUAAUUUCUUAGAACUACAGGAAGAGCCGUUCUUAACAACAAUUGCCAUCUGCAUCACUGAUCUGGAUGACGAAGUGGAUUCUUUCAAGACAGCGCAACCAGAACAAAAUAUUGAAGGGCACGGAUGCUACAGCUGAUCUGGACUGCAGAUACAACACAAGAUAACAAGAUACACCUGCUAUUCAACUUCUGUUUGUGUAAAUCUGUCUUUCAUUGCUGUAGUCUGUCCCAAGAACUGUGAAGGGUAAAGAUAAAGUGAUUUCUUCCUCUCCUACAAUAUACAUUAUCUGGAUUGAUCUGAUCAUGUGAUUCUUACGCUGGAAGAGCUGGGUAUUGAACCACUACCUGGAUCUGCUGCUGCUCAGCCAUUUUCCUCCAGGCAAAGAACAACUCCCUCUUCCUCUUCUCCCCGGUUAACCAGAAGAAGGAAUGAAUCAAAACAAAGACACAUUGGCUCCAUGCAGAGGCAGGGCCCAGGUAAAUGCAUGAUGCCAUGCAAAGGAAUAAACACAGGACUCUUCCAUUUGAUGAGAUCUGAAGCAGCCCAUCCACCACAGCAUUCUGCUCUUUUAUUUAGUAAACAAGUUUCAUCUUCAUUACAAAUGGGGCCUUUAAAUCAGGAUUUCUGUUGCAGCUGCUGCUGAAUUUUUGCAACAGCAGCACAUCAGAAAUGAUAGUCCAGCACUAAAAAUAGGGACCUCUGUUUCACAGAGGCGUCAGAGAAGCCACAAGUUGGAGCAACUGACAAGGGGCGAGUGUGCCACCCUGGGCAUGGCAACGGGGUUGGACCCUGUCCUCCUCCU